GGGUUUCUUGUUGAUCAAGUUUUAGUUUUCUGUGGACUGUUGCUUGUCUUUACUUCUUGUUGGGUUUCUUGUUGCUCAAGUUUGAGUAUUCUGUAUAGUUUUCUGUGGACUGUUGUUUGUCUUUUCUUCUUGAUGGGUUUCUUGUUGAUCAAGUUUGAGUAUUCUGUAUAGUUUUCUGUGGACUGUUGUUUGUCUUUUCUUCUUGAUGGGUUUCUUGUUGAUCAAGUUUUAGUUUUCUGUGGACUGUUGUUUGUCUUUUCUUCUUGAUGGGUUUCUUGUUGAUCAAGUUUGAGUUUUCUGUGGACUGUUGUUUGUCUUUACUUCUUGAUGGGUUUCUUGUUGCUCAAAUUUGAGUUUUCUGUGUAGUGUUCUGAAGACUGUUGUUUGUCUUUACUCCUUGGUGAGAGUUUUUGUUGGUCAAGUUUUUUUUAAUUUCCUGUGUAGUGUUCCUUUGACUGUCGUUGGUCUUUACUUCUUUUCACUUUUGAC
Molecule: long non-coding RNA, 489 nt
Filed under: Mytilus galloprovincialis (Mediterranean mussel)
Lineage: Eukaryota; Metazoa; Mollusca; Bivalvia; Mytilida; Mytilidae
Source: RNAcentral